RNAcentral lists this ribosomal RNA (200 nucleotides) under uncultured bacterium. RNAcentral's name for it is "partial 16S ribosomal RNA". It matches the Rfam family "Bacterial small subunit ribosomal RNA", at positions 328 to 539 of the family's 1533-position model. The record is from RNAcentral.
ACGCUCGACACCUACGGGAGGCGGCAGUUGGGAAUAUUGGACAAUGGAGGAAACUCUGAUCCAGUGACGCCGCGUGAAGGAAGAAGGUCUUCGGAUUGUAAACUUAUUUUGUCAGGGAAGAAAAAAUGACUGUACCUGAAGAAAAAGCACCGGCUAACUACGUGCCUGCAGCCGCGGUAAUCUGAGCGGGCUGGCAAGGC